GAGGCUCCUUCCCGGGGCAGCCUGACUCAGAAAAACCGUCUGAGAUCUUUUCCUGACUCGGCCAGGCUUGUUGCAGCUUUUCUGGGCUGUAGGGGGUCCUGCCUGGAGCUGACAGUCCUAUGCAGCUGAUCCUUUAGAGCUUGGCACCCCCUGGGGGCUUGGGCGGGUAGCAGAGCCACUGGAAAUCCAAGAGGCUCCUCCCCAGGGCAGCCCGACUCAGAAAAACCGAGAAUUAGGCAGAUCUAUUCACGGCCUGGCUAGGCUUGUUCUAGCUUUUCUGGGCUGCAGGCCUUUUCUCAGGGGCUGGUGGUGUUUGGUGCUACUCUUCGGAAGUGUAGCCCCUCCAAAGGGUAAGCAGGCCUGUGCAGGGACAGCCCCUGCGGUGGUAGGCUUCAGGCAAUUGUUGAGGCCAGCCCUCCUGGAUGGCAGGCAGCCCCAGGUUCAGGAGAGCGGGGUGGCGGGAGUCGGGGGAGGGGAUGCACUGGGAAGCACAGCUUUCAGCUAGCUAGCGGGCCUGUAAGCUUGCUGUGGCGUGGGGGGUAUUCUAUGGGGACCCACCCCUUCUUCUCUCCCCUCCCCAGCACAGGCGCAGACCAGGCUCUUUUCCCAGGUUCCCUCUGAUGCGGCUUUCCACUUCCCCGCCCCUAGAGUAUUGCUCCCUUCCUCUGCGACAGCUUUGUUUUCUAGUCUCCCAGGCAGUCUCUGCCCCAUCAAAUGGUUUCUAGACCUCCCAAGCAGUUUCCGCUCUGCCCCGCCCCGCCCCCAGCCCGUUCUCGAGGACUAACCUCUGGAGCCGAGGUCUCGGUGCCCCGCCCCCAUCCAGGCGUCCCCCGUCCCUUUUCCGGGGACUAACCUUCAGAGGCAAGGUCUCGGUGCCCAGCCCCUACCCAGGCGUCCCCCGGCCCUUUCUCGGGGUCUAACCUUCGGAGGCGAGGUCUCUCUGUCUUCUUUUCAAAUCCCUUCUGAGAUCCCUGAGUUGCAGAAUUCUGUAACUGCUAUGAUGAGAAAUGCCACUAAUUGAAGAAGCAGGACCUGUUUUAAGCUGUGAUGCCUGCCUCAGGAGGCCAGGCAUGGAGCCCUUUUGAGCCUGACUCAUCCUCCAGCUCAGGAGAUUCUGCCUCAGAGAGCAAACAUCUUGAAUGUUAUGGUGGCAGGUGGAAGGAGGGCAGUAACUAGCUGAAGCACAACGGGUAAUUUAAGAGAGGGGAGAGAAGCGAUGGGUGGUUUUGCUUGAGAUGUGGUGACCAUCCAGAGUACUACAUACAUUCCCUCUUGCUUUUUCUAUAUCCUCUUCUGGCUCUGGAGGCAGGAAGAGUUAAAAAGAAACACAAGGGAAUGUCACAAAGGCUGCUUCCUCUUCUUUUGUUUUACUUGUUUCUGCCCCUUUGUCCUUCUCUCUGCUCCUCCCCAAGAUAGAAGACUGAGUAUCUGAGUGGCAGACUCAGGUGUCCCAGGGCUACAUUCACUACUGGUCAUAGUUAGGCAGGACUGGCCAUUAGAUCUUCAUCCCAAAAAAGAACCAGGCUGUCCCUUGGACCCCAGUAUUCCAGGGAAAACCUUUAACUAAAAGACCCCUUUGUUGGCCUUGAUCUUAUUAGAUGUCUGGGGCUUACUGGCUGCAAAUCCCUGGUUUAAGAUGUAGAUGUGACCUCUGAAGUACUUGAGAACCUACUAUACCCUAGAAGAAAUGGAGGACCCUCUCUUCAUCUAAGGAAGUAUGACCAAGCAGAGGGGUGACUGCUGAAUUAAUCUGCACCACUCUGCAAAAUGUUGCUGGUGAGCCCAGAAGUUAGCCUUAGCACUGUUAGACAGAGCCUUCUUGUUGGAAGUGAAUGGUUACGCUUUAGGUGUGAUGCGUACCUACUUUUUACCAGUGUGACCCACCUGUCAUCAUUUUUCACCCAUUUUUCAUGUGGAUAACAUUAAAGGUCUCAACUUUUUGCCAUCUUACUCAUUUUUGUUAACAUCACUCCUUUGCCUUCAGGAAAGGAAAAAAAGGAAAAUGUGACUCAUAUGAUCAAAUCAUUGAUCAUAAGCUACCACUGCAGGAGCUACAGGCAUGGACUCAGCCACCUGAUUCCAGCUGUAACCACAGAGGCUUUCUGCUGGGGAGAAAAGAGCCCUGGACUUGGAGUCAGGAUACCUGCCUUCAACUCCCAGGUUUUUCAUUCACUAAAUGGUCCCUUUGACAAGUCACUUAUUUCCUUUUGGUCUUACUGACCUUAUCUGAAAAAUGGACAAAUUAGCAGUCACUGCUGCAUUGCAGGGCUACUUGGAGAUCAUGGCAGAAAGGCUAAGUAAAGCCAGUGAAAACCAAAGGCAUACCUGUUCCCACAUGCUGCAAGCCUCACUUUUGAUCCAGACCAAGCAUCCUUCAUUGAGUCUUCCUCAUAGAGUUCAUAUUGCCUUCAGCUGCUGUGGAUGCAGUCUUAAUUUUUUAAAAGUACUUUUUUCUCUUGCAGCACAUCGUAUGGGACUGGGACUCCAAUGGCAAACAUGACUUCAUUGGCGAAUACACCUCAGCAUUCAAGGAGAUGAGAGGAGUGAUGGAAGGGAAACAGGUACGUGGUAAACCACUCGUGCCAUUUCCCCAGGCUCAUCUCUCAUGACGAAUCCUUAGCACCCAGCUACACAAGAAACAGCUAAAGGCAUGACAUUAAUACAUGAUUAAAUGUGGUAAGGAGGGAGUAUGGUGGGAUCUGAAACCUAGGUUCUAGUGUUAAACCGGUCCACAGCAGUUGACACAGUUUCUCCACUGCAAAAUGAAAGAGGUCAGGUGAGAAUGCUUCUAAUUUCCUUUAGCUGUGUAGCCUUGGACAAGUGACUUAAUCUCUUUGUGCCUCUGUUUUUUGGUUUGGUUUUUUAUUUAUUUUUUUUUCAGCCGCUCCCAUGGCAUGUGGAAUUUCCCUGGGCCAGGGAUCGAACCCUCACCACAGCAGUGACCUGAGCAGCAGCAGUAACAAUGCUGAGUCUUUAACUCGCUGAGCCACCUAAAAAAUACGAAGGUGAUAGAUGUGUUUUCUGGUAGGAUUCUGUGAAGGUUAGAUGAUAUAUAAUUCAUGGUAUGCACUUGACAGGGUAUCUGGCACAGGACUCGCAUUUCCAAAGCAUGUGCUAGUGCUACUAUCUAGUAACAGUAUUGCCUCUUGCUUUUUUAUUUUUUAGACUGUGCCAGCAGCAUUCAAAAGUUUCCCAGGCCAGGGAUCGAACCUGAGCCACAGCAAUGACAAUGCCAAGUCCUUAACCGCAAGGCCAUCAGGGAACCCCUCUAGUAGCAGUAUUCUUUCCAGCUCUACAUUUCCAUGACCUGGUGGCAUUAAUGCCAUAUUUUAAGCUUUAGACAAAUUAUUUGAUUGCUCCAAAUUGGAGGGUGGGGCACCAGAUUUUCAUCUAGUCCCACUAUUUCACACUUACACGUUCUUGAUACUAAGAUACUAAGAUACAAACCCAAAAACUAUCACGUACCACUAGAGCACAUAGGGAUUUCAUUGCGACAUACAGAAACCUACACCUCCUCUGCGUGUCUCAGGUGCAGACUUUGAUGGAUAUACACAUACAUCUGUUAGCGGGGUCCCUUCUUUCUGCUCAACCACUAGCAUCAGUGUUCUUAUGUGCCUUACUGAUGUCUAGUCUUAAUUCUGCUUCAGUAUGAUUCUGCUGCUCGAGUCUUAGUAACAUUCAUCUAUUCAUUUAUUCAAUAGGGAUUUAUUGAGCCCCCUAAGGAUACAGAGAUGAGAAAAACAGUCACAGAGCUCACAAGCUGGAUCCUUUUAAUACAGUUUUAAUUUUUUAUUUUAUAUCAUUUAAUUUAAAUUUAUCAUGUAGUUGAUUUACAAUGUUGUAUUAGUUUCAGGUGUAGAGCAAAGUGAAUACAUAUGAAGAAACCCACUUUUUUCCCAUCUAGGUUAAAACCAUUACAAACUAUUGAGUAAAUUUUCCUAGGCUAUGCAAUCCUAAUGACUUUACCAGAAUAACCUCUAGCUAAUUUUUGACCCUCAUUUUUCAGACUCCAGAACCCCGUGGUGUUGUUUCCACAUACCACCUCCAGCUGGCGCACGUCUAUUGGCAGGCGUCUCAGGGCUGAUGUUUACUGGGCCCCUGAGUAGUGCCUGCUCCUGGCUUCCUUAUGACAAUGCUUUGCCUGAUAGUUAGGACACCCUACUACUGUCUGUAUACCAAGAAAAAGAGUUCAGUAACCAUGGCCUCUGAGUGUCAAACACUUGAGAUCGAAUCAGAUAUAAGCGUAGUCAUGUUAUAGAGAUAGAUUGUUGAAGUGGUUCAUCUGGAGCUUUUCUCAGUGAUGGUCAUAAGACUGUUCUGGAUGUACCAGUAUUUGGUCUGUAUCGGUAAGAUGACCAGAGACAGCUGCUUUUGAAAGAAGAGUUUAUCAGAGUUCCCAUCGUGGCUCAGCGGAAACAAAUCUGACUCGUAUCCAUGAGGACGCAGGUUCGAUCCCUGGCCUCGCUCCCAUGGGUUAAGGAUCUGGUGUUGCCAUGAGCUGCAGUGUAGGUCGCAAAUGUGGCUUGGAUCUGGCAUGGCUGUGGCGUAGACCAGUGGCUACAGCUCUGAUUCGACCCCUAGCCUGGGAACCUCCAUGUGCCAUGGGUGCAGCCCUAAAAAGAUAGAAAAAAAAAAAAAAAAAAAAAAAAAA
This 4651-nucleotide long non-coding RNA is filed under the name Sus scrofa (pig). RNAcentral's name for it is "lncRNA (ENSSSCG00030064761.1)". The record is from RNAcentral. Lineage: Eukaryota; Metazoa; Chordata; Mammalia; Artiodactyla; Suidae.